RNAcentral lists this transfer RNA (74 nucleotides) under Subtercola boreus. Its description in RNAcentral is "tRNA-Gly". It matches the Rfam family "tRNA". From Rfam's summary of the family: Transfer RNA (tRNA) molecules are approximately 80 nucleotides in length. Their secondary structure includes four short double-helical elements and three loops (D, anti-codon, and T loops). Further hydrogen bonds mediate the characteristic L-shaped molecular structure. tRNAs have two regions of fundamental functional importance: the anti-codon, which is responsible for specific mRNA codon recognition, and the 3' end, to which the tRNAs corresponding amino acid is attached (by aminoacyl-tRNA synthetases). tRNAs cope with the degeneracy of the genetic code in two manners: having more than one tRNA (with a specific anti-codon) for a particular amino acid; and 'wobble' base-pairing, i.e. permitting non-standard base-pairing at the 3rd anti-codon position. The record is from RNAcentral. Lineage: Bacteria; Bacillati; Actinomycetota; Actinomycetes; Micrococcales; Microbacteriaceae. RNAcentral also lists the same sequence under 2 other names.
GCGGAUGUAGUUCAAUGGCAGAACUUCAGCUUCCCAAGCUGAUAGUGCGGGUUCGAUUCCCGUCAUCCGCUCCA